UACGUAGGGGGCUAGCGUUAUCCGGAAUUACUGGGCGUAAAGGGUGCGUAGGUGGUUUCUUAAGUCAGAGGUGAAAGGCUACGGCUCAACCGUAGUAAGCCUUUGAGACUGGGAAACUUGAGUGCAGGAGAGGAGAGUGGAAUUCCUAGUGUAGCGGUGAAAUGCGUAGAUAUUAGGAGGAACACCAGUUGCGAAGGCGGCUCUCUGGACUGUAACUGACACUGAGGCACGAAAGCGUGGGGAGCAAACAGGAUUAGAUACCCUGGUAGUCCCUGA
Molecule: ribosomal RNA, 276 nt
Filed under: uncultured prokaryote
Description: partial 16S ribosomal RNA
Rfam family: Bacterial small subunit ribosomal RNA
Source: RNAcentral